GACGAACGCUGGCGGCGUGCUUAACACAUGCAAGUCACGGGGGCCCGCAAGGGUAACCGGCGAACGGGUGCGUAACACGUGAGCAACCUGCCGAUCUGAGGGGGAUAGCCGGCCCAACGGCCGGGUAACACCGCAUACGCUCUUUUGGUCUCAUGACCGAGGGAGGAAACCUCCGGGGCAGAUCGAGGGGCUCGCGGCCUAUCAGCUAGUUGGUGUGGGUAACGGCCCACCAAGGCGACGACGGGUAGCUGGUCUGAGAGGAUGGCCAGCCACAUUGGGACUGAGAGACGGCCCAGACUCCUACGGGAGGCAGCAGUGGGGAAUCUUGCGCAAUGGCCGAAAGGCUGACGCAGCGACGCCGCGUGUGGGAUGAAGCAUUUCGGUGUGUAAACCACUGUUGCCCGGGACGAACAUCCAGUUUCGACUGGACUGACGGUACCGGGUGAGGAAGCACCGGCUAACUCCGUGCCAGCAGCCGCUGUAAC
Molecule: ribosomal RNA, 485 nt
Filed under: uncultured bacterium
Lineage: Bacteria
Description: bacterial SSU rRNA
Rfam family: Bacterial small subunit ribosomal RNA
Source: RNAcentral